AGAAUAGGACUCUAUCUUUAUUCUCGUCCGAUUAAUUAGUUAUACAAAAUAACUAUCAGACCGUGAGGUA
Molecule: transfer RNA, 70 nt
Filed under: Bupleurum wenchuanense
Lineage: Eukaryota; Viridiplantae; Streptophyta; Magnoliopsida; Apiales; Apiaceae
Description: partial tRNA-Leu
Source: RNAcentral